AUUGAACGCUGGCGGCAGGCCUAACACAUGCAAGUCGAGCGGAUGAAGGGAGCUUGCUCCUGGAUUCAGCGGCGGACGGGUGAGUAAUGCCUAGGAAUCUGCCUGGUAGUGGGGGAUAACGUCCGGAAACGGGCGCUAAUACCGCAUACGUCCUGAGGGAGAAAGUGGGGGAUCUUCGGACCUCACGCUAUCAGAUGAGCCUAGGUCGGAUUAGCUAGUUGGUGGGGUAAAGGCCUACCAAGGCGACGAUCCGUAACUGGUCUGAGAGGAUGAUCAGUCACACUGGAACUGAGACACGGUCCAGACUCCUACGGGAGGCAGCAGUCGGGAAUAUUGGACAAUGGGCGAAAGCCUGAUCCAGCCAUGCCGCGUGUGUGAAGAAGGUCUUCGGAUUGUAAAGCACUUUAAGUUGGGAGGAAGGGCAGUAAGUUAAUACCUUGCUGUUUUGACGUUACCAACAGAAUAAGCACCGGCUAACUUCGUG
RNAcentral lists this ribosomal RNA (484 nucleotides) under uncultured bacterium. RNAcentral's name for it is "partial 16S ribosomal RNA". It matches the Rfam family "Bacterial small subunit ribosomal RNA", at positions 30 to 507 of the family's 1533-position model. The record is from RNAcentral.